AGCAGCCGCGGUAAUUCCAGCUCCAAUAGCGUAUAUUAAAGUUGUUGUGGUUAAAAAUGCUCGUAGUUGAACCUUGGGCCUGGCUGGCCGGUCCGCCUCACCGCGUGUACUGGUCCGGCCGGGCCUUUCCCUCUGUGGAACCCCAUGCCCCUUCACUGGGUGUGGCGGGGAAACAGGACUUUUACUUUGAAAAAAUUUAGAGUGCUCCAGGCAGGCCUAUGCUCGAAUACAUUAGCAUGGAAUAAUAGAAUAGGACGUGUGGUUCUAUUUUGUUGGUUUCUAGGACCGCCGUAAUGAUUAAUAGGGACAGUCGGGGGCAUCAGUAUUCAAUUGUCAGAGGUGAAAUUCUUGGAUUUAUUGAAGACUAACUACUGCGAAAGCAUUUGCCAAGGAUGUUUUUCAUUAAUCAGGAACCGAAAGUUAGGGAUCGAAGACGAUCAGAUACCGUCGUAGUCUUAAACCAUAAACUAUGCCGACUAGGGAUCGGACGAUGUUAUUUUUUUCGACUCGUUCGGCACCU
This 520-nucleotide unclassified non-coding RNA is filed under the name uncultured Paraglomus. RNAcentral describes it as "SSU rRNA". It matches the Rfam family "Eukaryotic small subunit ribosomal RNA", at positions 569 to 1088 of the family's 1831-position model. Lineage: Eukaryota; Fungi; Glomeromycota; Glomeromycetes; Paraglomerales; Paraglomeraceae. The record is from RNAcentral.